CAGCAGCCACGGUAAUACGAAGGGUGCAAGCGUUAAUCGGAAUUACUGGGCGUAAAGCGUGCAUAGGCGGUUUGUUAAGUCUGCUGUGAAAUCCCCGGGCUCAACCUGGGAAUGGCAGUGGAUACUGGUAAGCUAGAGUGUGUCAGAGGAUGGUGGAAUUCCCGGUGUAGCGGUGAAAUGCGUAGAGAUCGGGAGGAACAUCAGUGGCGAAAGCACUCUGCUGGGCCGACACUGACACUGAGAGACGAAAGCUAGUGGAGCAAAUGGGAUUAGAUACCCGAGUAGUCCCUGUCUCUUAUAC
Molecule: ribosomal RNA, 301 nt
Filed under: uncultured bacterium
Lineage: Bacteria
Description: partial 16S ribosomal RNA
Rfam family: Bacterial small subunit ribosomal RNA
Source: RNAcentral